GUCUUUUUGAUUAUAAUUUAAAGUCUGACCUGCCCACUGAGUUUUGAAUGGCCGCAGUAUUUUGACUGUGCAAAGGUAGCAUAAUAAUUAGUUUUUUAAUUAGAAACUGGAAUGAAGGGUUGAACGAGAAAAUAACUGUCUCUUUAUUAAUUAUUUAGAAUUUUAUUUUUAAGUUAAAAAGCUUAAAUAAAAUUAAAAGACGAGAAGACCCUAUAGAGUUUUAUAUAAAUUUUGUAAAAUAUUUUAAAUAGAAUUUUUUAAAUAUUUAUUUUAAUUAUAUUUAAUUGGGGUGAUUGAAAAAUUUUAUUAACUUUUUUUAAAUAAAAUCAUUGAUUUAUGAAUUAUUGAUCCAUUAAUAAUGAUUAUAAGAUUAAAUUACCUUAGGGAUAACAGCGUUAUUUCUUUUAAGAGUUCUAAUCGAUAAAGAAGUUUGCGACCUCGAUGUUGGAUUAAAAUAUAGUUUUGGUGUAGAAGCUAAAAAAUUUAGGUCUGUUCGACCUUUAAAAUUUUACA
Molecule: ribosomal RNA, 513 nt
Filed under: Wasmannina sp. JP-2017
Lineage: Eukaryota; Metazoa; Arthropoda; Insecta; Coleoptera; Staphylinidae
Description: partial 16S ribosomal RNA
Rfam family: Bacterial large subunit ribosomal RNA (bases 386-513)
Source: RNAcentral